RNAcentral lists this ribosomal RNA (692 nucleotides) under uncultured haloarchaeon. RNAcentral's name for it is "bacterial SSU rRNA". It matches the Rfam family "Archaeal small subunit ribosomal RNA", at positions 1 to 693 of the family's 1478-position model. Lineage: Archaea; Methanobacteriati; Methanobacteriota; Halobacteria; Halobacteriales; Halobacteriaceae. The record is from RNAcentral.
UUUUCCGGUUGAUCCCGCCGGAGGCCAUUGCUAUUGGGAUCCGAUUUAGCCAUGCUAGUUGUACGAGUUUAGACUCGUAGCGAAUAGCUCAGUAACACGUGGCCAAACUACCCUUCGGACCACAAUACCCUCGGGAAACUGAGGCUAAUAGUGGACACCACACGCAGACUGGAAUGUCGCGUGUGUCAAACGCUCCGGCGCCGAAGGAUGUGGCUGCGGCCGAUUAGGUAGACGGUGGGGUAACGGCCCACCGUGCCAAUAAUCGGUACGGGUCAUGAGAGUGAGAACCCGGAGACGGAAUCUGAGACAAGAUUCCGGGCCCUACGGGGCGCAGCAGGCGCGAAACCUUUACACUGCACGCCAGUGCGAUAAGGGGAUCCCAAGUGCGUAGGCAUAGAGCCUACGCUUUUGUCCACCCUAGGGUGGUGGACGAAUAAGGGCUGGGCAAGACCGGUGCCAGCCGCCGCGGUAAUACCGGCAGCUCAAGUGAUGACCGAUUUUAUUGGGCCUAAAGCGUUCGUAGCCGGCCGGGCAAGUUCGUCGGGAAAUCUACCAGCUCAACUGGUAGGCGUCCGGCGAAAACUGCACGGCUUGGGACAGGGAGACUCAAGGGGUACGUCCGGGGUAGGAGUGAAAUCCUGUAAUCCUGGACGGACCACCGAUGGCGAAAGCACCUUGAGAGAACUGCUCCG